Capra hircus (goat) is the source of this 539-nucleotide RNA transcript. It is a transcript of the gene named ATP synthase subunit d, mitochondrial pseudogene, with no coding region annotated. The transcript has a single exon. The record is from RefSeq and is a predicted model, not a curated record. NCBI's taxonomy places the organism in Eukaryota, Metazoa, Chordata, Mammalia, Artiodactyla, Bovidae.
AAAUUUCAAAGGUUACCCAGGUCGGUAAAGGAUCUCAAAAUGGCUGGACGGAAACUUGCUCUAAAAACCAUUGACUGGGUAGCUUUCAGGGAGAUCAUCUCCCAAAGCUGGAAGGCUGUGACUAACUCCUUGAAGUCCUGGAACGAGACCCUCACUUCCAGGUUGGCUACUCUGCCUGAGAAGCCAUCUGCCAUCGACUGGGCUUACUCCAAGGCCAACGUGGUAAAACCUGGCUUGAUGGAUGACUUUGAGAAGAAGUUUAAUGCCCUGAACGUUCCUAUACCAGAGGAUAAAUAUACUGCCCAGGUGGAUGCUGAAGAAAAAGAAGAUGUGAAAAGUUGUGCUGAGUUUUUGUCUCUUUCAAAGACCAGGAUUCAGGAAUAUGAGAAAGAGCUGGAGAAGAUGAGGAACAUAAUUCCAUUUGAGCAGAUGACCAUUGAGAACUUGAAUGAUGUCUUCCCAGAAACCAAAUUAGACAAGAAGAAGUCCCCUACUGGCCUCACAAGCCAAUUGAGAGCUUAUAAGCUCAAGUCUGGGAG